AUGCACGCUGGCGGCGUGCCUAAUACAUGCAAGUCGAGCGAACAGACGAGGAGCUUGCUCCUCUGACGUUAGCGGCGGACGGGUGAGUAACACGUGGAUAACCUACCUAUAAGACUGGGAUAACUUCGGGAAACCGGAGCUAAUACCGGAUAAUAUAUUGAACCGCAUGGUUCAAUAGUGAAAGACGGUUUUGCUGUCACUUAUAGAUGGAUCCGCGCCGCAUUAGCUAGUUGGUAAGGUAACGGCUUACCAAGGCAACGAUGCGUAGCCGACCUGAGAGGGUGAUCGGCCACACUGGAACUGAGACACGGUCCAGACUCCUACGGGAGGCAGCAGUAGGGAAUCUUCCGCAAUGGGCGAAAGCCUGACGGAGCAACGCCGCGUGAGUGAUGAAGGUCUUCGGAUCGUAAAACUCUGUUAUUAGGGAAGAACAAAUGUGUAAGUAACUAUGCACGUCUUGACGGUACCUAAGCAGAAAGCCACGGCUAACUACGU
RNAcentral lists this ribosomal RNA (495 nucleotides) under uncultured bacterium. Its description in RNAcentral is "partial 16S ribosomal RNA". It matches the Rfam family "Bacterial small subunit ribosomal RNA", at positions 29 to 506 of the family's 1533-position model. The record is from RNAcentral.